CGUAGUACAGAUGGUGUGAUAACAAGUGAUGCAGCUUGUAGUAUUAAUGGAAGGAUUAGAUGAAAGAAACUGGUAUUAUGGAUGAUUAAUCGUCAUUGGAUGAGUCAUUAGAAUAAUUUCAGAAGGGAGAGAUGAACUUGGGUGGUUAUGUGAGAAAAGACAAAUCUACAUGAAUGACAGUAAGAGGAAGAGAUGCUGUAAGUGGAUGUACAGUAGUCAUCUUGAUUGAUGGAAAAGUGGAAGUUGUGGUAAUUGUUUAAGUUAAAAUCCUGAACAAAAUGGCUGCUGCUAAACAGUGUAAUUUUGAAGCUAGUACAGGUAUCUCAACAGCAGCUGAAACAUUAAAAGUGAAUGAGGAAAACAGAAAAAGAGUCAUACCUGAAAGUACAAGUAUGACUAGUGUUCAAGAUUCAGGAAUAUGUUCUAACCAGGACCCAUCUGCUAAUGAGAGAGAAACAUCAUUACCUUCCCAGGUGCAAUCUAGUCGAGAAAAUGAACCCUCUGCUUAUGUAACAUCAACACCAAUUAAGAAGAAAGUAAAUGAGAAAAUCAGUGAAUUUGAAAUUUUACCCAGUCAGAUGAUUCUUGAUGACCCGCUUUUAUCCUCUAUUGAUGAGCCCGGAGAUUUGACAGAACACCAGGUUGACAGUAUAGUAUCGGACGAUGACUUUGAAGAUAACUAUUCAAAAUUAUACGAAACAAAGAUAAAAACAGAUUUUGAUACUACCAAAAAAUAUUCCCUUAUGACCAGAUUUAUGAAUGAUGUGUCAACUAGACCAAGAAUACAAAGAAGUCAUUCCUUCUCCGGCAGUGUUAAACAAAUUUCCUCAGAGUCAGAACCAUCGUCUGUAAUGAAGAAUCUCUUUGAUAUUCCUGUGAGCCCAAAACUGAAGAGUCGAGUGCGUCAGCGCCUGUACACUUUAGUUAAUUCUAUUGAUGGUUAUCAAGGAAAAAUCAAUAUUGAGGAAGAAGAAGAAAAUAUCAGAAAAUUAUGUUUGAAAACAGUCGAGUCCGUGUCAAAUUCUAAAGUGAACAUAUCUGCAAGUACUCAAACAAAUGCAAAUUUAAUUGUUGAUUCAAAGGGGAAACCACAUAGAAGUGCUUGUAUGAAAGGAGAUUUUGAAGAUACCAUUUUAUUAAAGAACAAUGUAAAUAACACCAAUGUGUGUAAAUGCCACCCACAAGGUUGUAGUGUAUUAAACACCAGUGAUAAAAAACAUGCCUCAAGUCUAGAUCAAACUGUCUUAUCUACUCUUAGUCAUAAUGUAAGUGAAAAGUAUGGUAGUGUUAUGUCCAGUUUACUAGAAUCUCAGAUGAGAACACUUCAGCUCCACCAGGAACAGCUCAACCAGGAAAAAUUAAGUCUUGCCAUGCAGAAAAAAGAUCAUGAAGCUCAAGCCAGAAUAUCUGUGUAUCAAGAAAAGUUGCAGCUAAUGAUCCAGAUGGUGGAAGAACUAGAAUUUAAGUUGUCAGAAAUGCAAAAGAAGAUGAGAGACCAAGCUGAAUAUUAUCAACACAAGAUAAAAAAACAAGAUGAAGUGCAUAAGGAAAGUUUGGCAGUGAUGAGAAUGGAAUGUGAGAAAAAGAUGCAUGAACUAGAAUCUAGAAUAUUAUCAGUUCGCAAGGAAAUGACACAAUCCUGUGACCAAAAUAUUUUGGCAGUGUUAUCAUCUACACAAGAAAAGGCAACGGUAAUUGAAAAAGAACAUGAAGCACACAUCCUUCAGUUAAAUUCUGUCAUCAGCAAACUAAGGGCAGACAAAAGAGAACUUGAAUUUUCCUUAGAAAACUCGUAUUCAAACCCUGACAACAAGGAACUAGAUGCAAACAUUGCUGAGAUUUGUAAUGAAAAAGACUCCCUGAAACAAGAAAUUGAUACAUUGAAACAAAGGUUAAAAGCACCGUGUGAUACAGAUGAAACAGUUGUUGCACUCCAAGAGGAUAUAUCAAAUUUAGAGAUAGCCAAAAGACUGCUUCAGGAAGAAGUUGACGUGUGGAAGAAAGAAUCAGAAACACUGCAACAGAAAUUAAGUGCUACUGAACUAGGGCACAAAAAGUUAUUAGAUGAAGCUCUUCAGGGAUCACACUUAUUGGCGAAACAGGAAGUGGAAAGACUGCAGAUACAAAAUACUCGUGAAAAUGAGAGACUUAAUAAGACAAUUACCCUAUUAAAAGAGAAGCAAUCUCAAGCUUUAUCUGAAAAUUUAGUCCUUCGGCAACAGAAUAGUCAACUUCUUAAAGUAGAGAAAGACCAUAAGGAGUAUUCAUCCUCAAGAGAAACAUUAGAGAAGGAGGUGGCUUCUCUUAGAUCAGAGCUGCAACAAGCAGAAUCUCAAGUACUUCAACAACAGAUGAAUUUUAAACGCUUACAAAAAGCGCAUGCCAAUGAGUUAACAAAGUACCAGGAAGCUCAUAGACAAAGAAUGCUUAACUAUCAAGUUUCCAUGGAAAGAGAAAGAUCAUCAGCAGUAUCUCAAGCCCUGGCCCGCCAACAGGAAGAAACAAAAAUCCUCAUAACAGAAGUUGGAUCUCGUUAUGAAAAUUUACUUGGAAGUGUUCAAGCACAUGCUAAAGCUCAGAUGCAUGAGUAUAAAAAGAAUGGUGUAACACAUAUGACACAUGCAGGAGGUACUGCCCAUCCUUGGUGAUUGCCAGGCUAAGCAGUUGAACUAUCACAUAGCCCAGAGGAUGGUUUGUGUGUAGAAGAAGCUAUUCUCUCUACAUAAUAAUUAUAUAUACUAUACAUUACCAGUAAAUGUACAUAUAUCAACUCAAAGUUAUGAGUUAAAAAAUAACAAUAACAGCUUCACCCGGUAGCAGGAGAGGCAAGGUAAUGUGGCAACUGUGAAAUCUAACUUGGCUACCUGCCAAAUCCACACACACACACGCGUCAAUGUAAGGCUGUUCAGUUUCUGAAGAUGAAGAUAAAAAAGAUGGAGGAAGGAAAAUGAAAUUUGCAAAUAUUUUUGGAAAGUUAGACACUGUACGCUAUAAACAAUAAAAAUUAAAAAAAAAUCUAUUAGAUGUUCUUAGAUUUAUUAAUCAUCUUUGUUUGUUGAGGAAUAUCAGUACAGGGUAAU
This 3080-nucleotide unclassified non-coding RNA is filed under the name Homarus americanus (American lobster). Its description in RNAcentral is "tATA element modulatory factor-like, transcript variant X3". Lineage: Eukaryota; Metazoa; Arthropoda; Malacostraca; Decapoda; Nephropidae. The record is from RNAcentral.